AGAUUAACAGUCUCUUUCCAUAGGAGACAUCGGAAUCAGAGGUUCCUGCAACUUAUCCUUUUAUUUUUCAAUGCCCCUUGGCAAUCAUUAUUUCACCUGACCGUUUGAUCUUUCUUUUUUUCAACAUCUCGAAUAUAGGUUCGCACGUGGCUGUUAGAUGAGAUGUGAACCAUGACAGGUAGUUCAAUCUAUCCAUGAAACCACGAACCUCUCUUUCUG
RNAcentral lists this long non-coding RNA (219 nucleotides) under Lathyrus oleraceus (garden pea). RNAcentral's name for it is "Pisum sativum (pea) long non-coding RNA (PSAT_LNC017756)". Lineage: Eukaryota; Viridiplantae; Streptophyta; Magnoliopsida; Fabales; Fabaceae. The record is from RNAcentral.